Non-coding RNA from Pseudonaja textilis, 483 nucleotides. The record is from RefSeq and is a predicted model, not a curated record. NCBI's taxonomy places the organism in Eukaryota, Metazoa, Chordata, Lepidosauria, Squamata, Elapidae.
CUUUUUGAAGCUGAGCAGCAGAGUAUCAUGUGGAACUAAGAGGCCAGGGAGAAAAUUUUCUAUGCUUCAAAUACAUGCCCAGACAGCCAGCAAUCUCUGAUAUUCCACACCUAUUUAUUUUUUUAAAGAAGAUAUCAUAGAACACUAGUGAUGCAGAAGAGAUAAAAUUGUUUUUCAUUUCUAUUAAAAUGGUAAUCCAUAUAAUUUAAAAUCAACACUGGGACCAAAACACUUUAUUAGUCUGAAAAAAGCUAUGUUGGCUAAAAUUUUGUCAACUUUGUUUAUAUUUGAUUCAUUAAAGCUGGUUGUAGUUGGUCUGUUCAAUUUUUUCUACUAAAAUACAACAAUACAUUGGAGUGACUAUUGAAUAAUUAUCCUGGUACAAAAAAUAUGUACGUUAAGAAUAAAUAUGCAUACCAUUUCCCUACAGAGUUGUUUUUAAAUUAUAAACCCACAAAAACAAGGUUGAUGAAAGCUUAAAAU